GUUAGAGGUCCGAAGGCGAUCAGAUACCGCCCUAGUUCUAACCAUAAACGAUGCCAGCCAGCGAUCCGGCUGUGUUCCUCAAAUGACACGCCGGGCAGCUUCCGGGAAACCAAAGCUUUUGGGUUCCGGGGGAAGUAUGGUUGCAAAGCUUAAACUUAAAGGAAUUGACGGAAGGGCACCACAAGCCAUGGAGCAUGCGGUUCAAUUUGACUCAACACGGGGAACCUUACCCAGCCCGGACACAGGAAGGAUUGACAGAUUAAGAGCUCUUUCUUGAUUCUGUGAGUGGUGGUGCAUGGCCGUUCUUAGUUGGUGGAGCGAUUUGUCUGCUUUAUUGCGAUAACGAACGAGACUCUAGCCUACUAAAUAGACGUUCCGAUCUUCUUGAGUCGGACGGUCUUCUUAGGGGGACAGGCGGCGACUAGCCGCACGAGACAGAGCAAUAACAGGUCUGUGAUGCCCUCAGAUGUCCGGGGCCACACGCGCGCUACAUUGAAGGAAUCAGCGUGUGCUUUCCCGGUCCGACAGGACUGGGUAACCCGUUGAACCUCCUUCGUGCUGGGGAUAGGGGCUUGCAAUUAUUCCCCUUGAACGAGGAAUGCCUAGUAAGCGCGAGUCAUCAGCUCGUGUUGAUUAGGUCCCUGCCCUUUGUACACACCGCCCGUCGCUACAAGCGAUUGAAUGGUUUAGUGAGGUCUUCGGACUGGCGCUCGGAUCGGCCCUCCGGACCAGCCGACGUGCCGGAAAGAUGACCAAACUUGAUCAUUUAGAGCAUGUAAAAGUCGUAACAAG
This 792-nucleotide ribosomal RNA is filed under the name Nesticella yui. RNAcentral's name for it is "SSU rRNA". It matches the Rfam family "Eukaryotic small subunit ribosomal RNA", at positions 989 to 1798 of the family's 1831-position model. Lineage: Eukaryota; Metazoa; Arthropoda; Arachnida; Araneae; Nesticidae. The record is from RNAcentral.